AACGAACGCUAGCGGCAGGCCUAACACAUGCAAGUCGAACGACCUAGCAAUAGGGAGUGGCAAACGGGUGAGUAACACGUGGGAACCUACCCAGGGGUACGGAAUAACUUAGGGAAACUUAAGCUAAUACCGUAUGUGUCCUUAGGGAGAAAGAUUUAUCGCCCUUGGAUGGGCCCGCGUCUGAUUAGCUAGUUGGUAAGGUAAUGGCUUACCAAGGCGACGAUCUCUAGCUGGUUUGAGAGGAUGAUCAGCCACACUGGGACUGAGACACGGCCCAG
This 278-nucleotide ribosomal RNA is filed under the name uncultured bacterium. Its description in RNAcentral is "partial 16S ribosomal RNA". It matches the Rfam family "Bacterial small subunit ribosomal RNA", at positions 29 to 334 of the family's 1533-position model. The record is from RNAcentral.